Pelobates cultripes (western spadefoot toad) is the source of this 1013-nucleotide non-coding RNA. Lineage: Eukaryota; Metazoa; Chordata; Amphibia; Anura; Pelobatidae. The record is from the annotation of a GenBank genome assembly.
CAGACAUCAUGACCACUCCAAAUCAAUAACGUGCUCAUAGGGUUUGGAGUAACCCUUUAAUUGCAAUACACUACUGUUUGUGUUUGUCUUUUUUUGAGUUAGCAUGAUCUUGCUGUAAAAUUGUACCUUUAUUUUCUUUUUAAAGGGGUACUAUAGUGACUAAACAACUUUAGCUGAAUUAAGUAGGUUUUUGUAUAUAGAACUUGCCCCUGCAGUCUCACUACUCCAUUAUCUGCCAGUUAGGAGUUUAAUCACUUUUGUUAAUUUUUAUGCAGCCCUUGUAACACCUCCCUGGGUGUGACAGACACAGCCUGCAUGAAAACAAAAUGUUUUUAUUUUUAAUCAGAUGUAACUUACUUUAAAGGAUCACUAUAAUGUCACAAACACAAACCUGUAUUUCAGACCCUAUAGCACUAAGAUCACUAUCUAGCCUCCAUUGCCCCCCCUAAUUAUAGUAAAAUCUUUCUUUUAUUCCAGUCUCCUGGUGCUGGCUCUGCCACUGAUCUGCCGCCUUGGCUGACAUCAUCAGAAGUAAUGAUCCCAGCCAAUCACAAUGCUUUCUUAUAGGAAAACAUUGGAUUGGCUGAGAUGGUCAAUUGUGAUGUCUGCCAAGGAGGAGAGUUGUGGGCGUAGCCAAACACUGCCAUGCAGUGAAUCAAUCCAUCUCUAUGGGGAAAGUGAGUGUCUGCAUGCAGAGGGUGGAGACACUGAAUGUCAGUCACACUGUGCAGCACUGCCCGAGGAAGCACCUCUAGUAACCAUCUGAGGAGUGGACACUAAAAGUGUCCCUAGGUUGUAAUGUGAAAACACUGACUUUUCUCUGAAAAGAAAGUAUUUACAUUAAAAUUUCUGAAGAGAAUGAUUAUAGUUACUAUAGCAAGUACAUUAAGCUGUAGUUGUUCUGGUGACCAGGGCCGCCACCAGGAGGCGACAACCAUGGCGGUUGGUAUAGGCCUGGCGGUCCUGGGGGGCCCGGACUGCUUUGGCAGUCCCGGGCCCCACAUUCCCUCUCU